Long non-coding RNA from Phacochoerus africanus (Common warthog), 897 nucleotides. RefSeq lists it as uncharacterized. Lineage: Eukaryota; Metazoa; Chordata; Mammalia; Artiodactyla; Suidae. The transcript is spliced from 3 exons. The record is from RefSeq and is a predicted model, not a curated record.
GGGCAGUGGGUGGCAACUUGCAAGGGCCUGAUACCCUCACGACCGGACAUUGGCACCCCUGGGGGUCACGUGGCACGCCGGACCCCCCUCCCCUUUCUGCCCCCCUCCUCCCGGGGUCUGUUCGGAGCAGAGGUUGACCUGCGGGGUGAGAGAAGAGACACAGGGGGAGAAGAGGACUGGGGCUCGAAUGAAUCCAUCUUAGGAACUGAAAAGGGAACUGACAUCAAUAGGGUUUUCUCAUCUCCCCCACCCAACAUCUUCACAGCAGAUGCUGAGGCCACUUCCUUGAUCUGAAAUGGAUUUUUCGUAUUUCAACGCCUUAAUUUUAAAAGAACAGCCCACUAAUUUUCAUUUCCACUUUAAAAAUACAGACUCUACUCCUCUGGGAAAUGCCUAGGUUCCUUUCAUCCAAGCAGAGUCUGAGAAUCUCUGAAAGAGGCAGGAGGGAGAAGUAAGUCAAGCAGGGAACCUUCUGGUGUGAGGGAUUCUCUCCUUCCCCUCCCAUCUCUGGAAGACAACAACCUAACCUAGAAACUUCUGGAAGACUUUUGACCUCCAAAACCAGUGGAACUGAGCCUCUUCCACGGCGGCCCUGCUGCAGUCUAGUUCCUUGGAUUUCUCCAAAAGAAGAAGAAAGAAAUUGGAUAACUGAUGGACUUCUCUACCAAGAGAUGGAAAAGUGUUUUCUAACAGAGCAAAUUUUUUCCCUAGGAAAAAAGAAACUAAACAAAGCAAUCUGAACAAUGUUAUUCUCUGAAUUGGAAAUGGGGUGCCCAUCUUUACUGAAAUUCUCUGAGACCAAAAAAAAAACACAAAAAACAAAAAACACCCCACCUCAUUAUUUUAAUACAGGCUUCUGAGCGUGCCAGAAAAAUAAAGGUUCAAGCUGUCACAGGA